Molecule: ribosomal RNA, 500 nt
Filed under: uncultured bacterium
Lineage: Bacteria
Description: bacterial SSU rRNA
Rfam family: Bacterial small subunit ribosomal RNA
Source: RNAcentral
GAUGAACGCUAGCGGGAGGCUUAACACAUGCAAGUCGAGGGGUAAAUGGCAGCAAUGCUAUGAGACCGGCGAACGGGUGCGUAACGCGUAUGCAACUUACCUUAUGCAGGGGGAUAGCCCGUGGAAACGCGGAUUAAUAUCCCAUAGAUCAGUGGUAUCGCAUGGUACAGCUGGUAAAGCUCAGGUGGCAUAAGAUGGGCAUGCGUCUGAUUAGCUGGUUGGUAGGGUAACGGCCUACCAAGGCGACGAUCAGUAGGGGUUCUGAGAGGAUUAACCCCCACACUGGUACUGAGACACGGACCAGACUCCUACGGGAGGCAGCAGUGAGGAAUAUUGGUCAAUGGGCGGAAGCCUGAACCAGCCAUGCCGCGUGCAGGAUGACGGCCCUACGGGUUGUAAACUGCUUUUCCCCGGGGCGAACUAACCCCCUCGCGAGGGGGAUGCCGGUACCGGGGGAAUAAGGAUCGGCUAACUCCGUGCCAGCAGCCGCGGUAAUCUGU